Long non-coding RNA from Nematostella vectensis (starlet sea anemone), 859 nucleotides. RefSeq lists it as uncharacterized. The transcript has 2 exons. Lineage: Eukaryota; Metazoa; Cnidaria; Anthozoa; Actiniaria; Edwardsiidae. The record is from RefSeq and is a predicted model, not a curated record.
UAUUGUGUACAGAAGAAUGGUCUUUUGAAUUUUUCAGAUGGAUGCAGCUUUCUAUAAUGCGUUGCGAUGGAAUCGAACAAUAGCCAUCUUUUAGGACAAAUGCAGAGAGCUAAAAAGAAAAAACCUUACACUCAAGAAACUUAAAUAGUCCUCGACUUGUGGAGACUCAUCAUUGGCCAAAAAGUACAAAGGAGUCAAAGUACAGAAGCGCUGCCAAUCUGUAAAUCCAAACGUGGAAGCAUUUGAAAAACACAAAAGCAUGCUAACAUUGCGCCAAACAUUGUUGAUAAAUUGAAUUUUCGGCCUUCGAGUAUAACCCUUAGGAACCCUCAUUUUUCUACACGUGUUUAUACGGAACUUAGCGCAUCUUUACACGAUCUUCUCAUAACCUCCUAACGUAGCCUCGUCCCUCGGCGGGCCUAUCACGCUAUGCAUGGCUAUGGCGUCACAGGCCCUUUCUGCUCUGAAGCGUCCGCCAUAUUGGAAAUUGUGAGUCUGCACGCAAAGCAUCAUGGUGAUGACAGCAAGGGAGUAGCCUGCCUCUAACCCGGGCCAAUUUUCAUCCCGGGGCAUGUAACCCGGCUCUCAGGAGCAGCCGAAAGCUAACCUGGGUUGUGAGCCAUGUGUGACAGACCUGUAGCCGGAGGGCGGGAGAAUCCCCGUAGCCAGAGGUUCUUCCCCCCUCCCCUCGACUGGGAGGUCCGCUCUCAUGAAUGGAAAUUGAGUACCACUGCAAGCUGGGACGAGCUACCUAAGGGAAAAUGUCAAUAAAACAAAGCUGCGAGCACACUAGAAUACAAACAACCCCCGAUUUUGUGGGCCAAGAGUUCGCGGAACAAUAAAUUGCAUUUACUCUGAA